GAACCAACACCGCGUGCGUGUAUGAAUGACCUCCUGCGGGUUACCAACUCAUUUUUGGCCGGGAACGAUUUUGGACGGUACCGGCGGAAUAAACCUCGGCUAACUACGUGCCCAGCCAGCCGCGGUUGAUACGUAGGAGUGCGAGCCGUUAUCCGGAUUUUACUGGGUGUAAAGCGCGUUGCAGGCGGUUCUGUUAAGUUGGAUGUUGAAAACUCCUGGCUCUAACCGGGAGAGGUCGUUUCGAUACUGGCUAGACUUUGAGGGAUGGUAGGGAAGGUGGGAAUUCCGUGGUGUAGUCGGUGGAAUGCGUCAGAUAUCCGGAGGGACCACCCAGUGGCGAAGGCGGCUUUCUGGACCUUUCCUGACGCUCAGACGCGAAAGUAGGGGAGCAAACAGGAUUAGAUACCCCGGUAGUCCUAGCCGUAAACGAUGUGCACUAGGUGUUGGAUCGUUCCACGUGAUCCGUGCCGUAGCUAACGCAAUAAGUUCACCGCCUGGGGAGUACGC
RNAcentral lists this ribosomal RNA (507 nucleotides) under uncultured prokaryote. RNAcentral describes it as "bacterial SSU rRNA". It matches the Rfam family "Bacterial small subunit ribosomal RNA", at positions 388 to 885 of the family's 1533-position model. The record is from RNAcentral.